This 682-nucleotide ribosomal RNA is filed under the name Mizuhorchestia urospina. Its description in RNAcentral is "partial 28S ribosomal RNA". It matches the Rfam family "Eukaryotic large subunit ribosomal RNA", at positions 316 to 677 of the family's 3401-position model. The record is from RNAcentral. Lineage: Eukaryota; Metazoa; Arthropoda; Malacostraca; Amphipoda; Talitridae.
CUAAAUACAUCCACAGAACCGAUAGUGAACAAGUACCGUAAGGGAAAGUUGAAAAGAACUCUGGAGAGAGAGUCAAAAGACCGUGAAACCGCUCAGAGUAUAAGCCGAUGGCGCUAGAAGGCAACCGGUGGCAAGGCGAUCUUGGCUUCGGCCGGGGUCGUCCGAAAUGCCUGAGAACUGGGUAGUUGGAGGAGUAGCAUUGAGUUGCUCAUCCAUCAGGCGAGCCUGUUCAUGGGCGAACACAAGUGGUGUCGUUCCGCUGGCGGGCUCGUUGCUGGACGAUUCUCUCGAGGCAUCACACGGUGAUUGCCCACCACAGCUCGUUGCUUGGUCACCCGCUGGGUCUAAGCGUGCAGAUGCUUCAUCCAGGGUCCGAGCUUUUUGAAGGUGCGUGAAUGGGCGGGCGUCUACCUACUGACUGCGGUGACGCCCGCUCGAGCCGUGCUCGCGCCAUCCUGGCUCUGACUGCCGACAAAGAUGUGGUGUGAUCCAUUCGGCGACGAUGCUGCAAUUGGCCAGACACGUACAGCCCCCAGCUCCGUCGCCAUGUGCCGGCGGCGGAGUACCUGCGGGCAGGCUGCUUGCGUCGCAUGCGAAGCAAACGCUCAGCCUGGGGGCUGGUCUGAUUGGUGAUGCUCUAGCGACCAUCGGUCACGUCUCGAAACACGGGCCAAGGAGUAUA